RNAcentral lists this ribosomal RNA (403 nucleotides) under Fusobacteriota bacterium. Its description in RNAcentral is "Fusobacteria bacterium partial 16S ribosomal RNA". It matches the Rfam family "Bacterial small subunit ribosomal RNA", at positions 355 to 776 of the family's 1533-position model. Lineage: Bacteria; Fusobacteriati; Fusobacteriota. The record is from RNAcentral.
UGGGGAAUCUUGCACAAUGGGGGAAACCCUGAUGCAGCGACGCCGCGUGAGCGAUGAAGGUUUUCGAAUCGUAAAGCUCUGUCCUAUGGGAAGAUAAUGACGGUACCAUGGGAGGAAGCCCCGGCUAACUACGUGCCAGCAGCCGCGGUAAUACGUAGGGGGCGAGCGUUGUCCGGAAUUACUGGGCGUAAAGGGUUCGCAGGCGGCAUGGCAAGUCCGAUGUAAAAGGCGAAGGCUCAACCUUCGUAAGCAUCGGAAACUGUCAAGCUUGAGGGAAGGAGAGGCAAGUUGAAUUCCUAGUGUAGCGGUGGAAUGCGUAGAUAUUAGGAGGAAGACCGGUGGCGAAGGCGACUUGCUGGACUUCAACUGACGCUGAGGAACGAAAGCGUGGGUAGCAAACAGG